Molecule: long non-coding RNA, 769 nt
Filed under: Olea europaea (common olive)
Lineage: Eukaryota; Viridiplantae; Streptophyta; Magnoliopsida; Lamiales; Oleaceae
Description: long non-coding RNA (OEUR_LNC013398)
Source: RNAcentral
CGACGAGUUUUUCAUAUUUCAUGCAAGUUGGUUUUCCGGAGAAUGACUCGAUGAUCCAUAAUCAUAAUCACAUUCAUUGACUAAUCCUCAGAGAAGUGAACCGUAAAAGCCCUUUCUUUCAAUUAAAUCAUUAGACGUCGAAGAAGGCAGAUAACGUCCACCUUGAGAUGCAUGAUAUAUGGAUCAUGAUAACAGACGCUACUCAAAUUUUAGACAGAACCAAAUCCUUCUCUAAUAUAAAUCGAAAGCUGUUUUCCUGGCAUAUAUUAGUCUCAUAAACACUUCUUGUUCAUCGUAAAUCAACCAAAUUGCAUAAUAACAUUGUCCAAAGGAAUUAAGGGGGCAAGAUAACUAAAACCUAAAUUUGAAGGCACAUCGAAGGGCCACCAUCUCAGAAAAGCAAACCCACACAUCAUCUUUAUAAAUAUCAUAUCACGAAGCAAACCGAGGAUAAUGAAACUGGUUACUGCAACAGAAUUGCAACAUCCAAGUAAUCACCUAUCUGCAUAUGGCAAGACACAAGUCAAAUCCAAUUCGUGAAACAAUACUGGGAAAGUUGCAUGCCUUGCCACUAAUGUAUUGCCUCAGUAGCUAGCCAUCCAAACUUUCAAAGGGAGCAAGACAACCCCUAAGCUAUCAUUAUUUUUGCACAAGCGAUCACCAAAGACUGAAACAAAUCCAAAUCUCCAUUAAUUGUCACGUGCCACAUGAUCAAUUUUAUGAAGUUUUUUUUUUUUUUUUUUUUUUUUUUUGGGGGGGGGGGGGGGGG